ACAUCUGCUACCCACUGAUCACUAAGGCUGAUUCUGCUGAUCUGGCUGUCUAGGCAGGUGU
This 61-nucleotide small nuclear RNA is filed under the name Rattus norvegicus (Norway rat). RNAcentral's name for it is "7SK RNA". It matches the Rfam family "7SK RNA", at positions 25 to 86 of the family's 331-position model. From Rfam's summary of the family: 7SK was discovered as an abundant small nuclear RNA in the mid-70s but a possible function has only recently been suggested. Two independent studies have found that 7SK RNA binds the CDK9/cyclin T complex (known as elongation factor P-TEFb). Lineage: Eukaryota; Metazoa; Chordata; Mammalia; Rodentia; Muridae. The record is from Rfam by way of RNAcentral.